GAUGAAGAACGCAGCGAAAUGCGAUAAGUAAUGUGAAUUGCAGAAUUCAGUGAAUCAUCGAAUCUUUGAACGCACAUUGCGCCCCCUGGUAUUCCGGGGGGCAUGCCUGUUCGAGCGUCAUUUCACCACUCAAGCCUCGCUUGGUAUUGGGCAACGCGGUCCGCCGCGUGCCUCAAGUCGACCGGCUGGGUCUUCUGUCCCCUAAGCGUUGUGGAAACUAUUCGCUAAAGGGUGUUCGGGAGGCUACGCCGUAAAACAACCCCAUUUCUAAGGUUGACCUCGGAUCAGGUAGGGAUACCCGCUGAACUUAAGCAUAUCAAUAAGCGGAGGA
This 331-nucleotide unclassified non-coding RNA is filed under the name soil metagenome. RNAcentral's name for it is "partial contains 5.8S ribosomal RNA, internal transcribed spacer 2, and large subunit ribosomal RNA". The stretch from base 1 to 120 matches the Rfam family "5.8S ribosomal RNA", at positions 35 to 154 of the family's 154-position model. The record is from RNAcentral.